This 506-nucleotide ribosomal RNA is filed under the name Corydalus peruvianus. RNAcentral describes it as "partial 16S ribosomal RNA". It matches the Rfam family "Bacterial large subunit ribosomal RNA", at positions 1819 to 2594 of the family's 2925-position model. The record is from RNAcentral. Lineage: Eukaryota; Metazoa; Arthropoda; Insecta; Megaloptera; Corydalidae.
GUCUUUUAGAUAAUAAUUUAAAGUCUGGCCUGCCCACUGAAUAAAAUUUAAAGGGCCGCGGUAUUUUGACUGUGCAAAGGUAGCAUAAUCAUUAGUCUUUUAAUUGAAGGCUUGUAUGAAUGGUUGGAUGAAAUAUUAACUGUCUCAGAUUAAUAAAAUAGAAUUUAAUUUUUAAGUUAAAAAGCUUAAAUAAUAUUAGAGGACGAGAAGACCCUAUAGAUUUUUAUAAUUUUUUAUUUAUAAAUAAUUUAGUUGAGAGGAAUUUUUAGUUAAUGAAUUAUUUUAUUGGGGUGAUAAAUAAAUUUAAAAAACUUUAUUGAAUAUAAACAUUAAUGUAUGAAUUAUUGAUCCAUUUUUAGUGAUUAUAAGAUUAAAUUACCUUAGGGAUAACAGCGUAAUUUUUUUAGAGAGUUCAUAUCGAUAAGAAAGUUUGCGACCUCGAUGUUGAAUUAAAGAUUAGUUUAGGUGUAGAAGUUUAAAUUUUUGGUCUGUUCGACCAUUGAAUC